GACGAACGCUGGCGGCGUGCUUAACACAUGCAAGUCGAACGGAAAGGCCCUGCUUUUGUGGGGUGCUCGAGUGGCGAACGGGUGAGUAACACGUGAGUAACCUGCCCUUGACUUUGGGAUAACUUCAGGAAACUGGGGCUAAUACCGGAUAGGAGCUCCUGCUGCAUGGUGGGGGUUGGAAAGUUUCGGCGGUUGGGGAUGGACUCGCGGCUUAUCAGCUUGUUGGUGGGGUAGUGGCUUACCAAGGCUUUGACGGGUAGCCGGCCUGGGAGGGUGACCGGCCACAUUGGGACUGAGAUACGGCCCAGACUCCUACGGGAGGCAAAAGUGGGAAAUCUUGCACAAUGGGCGGAAGCCUGAUGCGACAACGCCGCGUGCGGGAUGACGGCCUUCGGGUUGUAAACCGCUUUCGCCUGUGACGAAGCGUGAGUGACGGUAAUGGGUAAAGAAGCACCGGCUAACUACGUG
This 468-nucleotide ribosomal RNA is filed under the name uncultured bacterium. RNAcentral describes it as "partial 16S ribosomal RNA". It matches the Rfam family "Bacterial small subunit ribosomal RNA", at positions 28 to 507 of the family's 1533-position model. The record is from RNAcentral.